Molecule: non-coding RNA, 31 nt
Filed under: Rattus norvegicus (Norway rat)
Lineage: Eukaryota; Metazoa; Chordata; Mammalia; Rodentia; Muridae
Source: RNAcentral
UAGACAGAGCUUAUGAAGCGCCUCAGGCUGU